GAAAUUUUGAAGGCCAGGAUUGUUUCCUAAUUUUUCCUCCGAGGGCCUAGGACUCGUCCUUUGGUAGGGCUAGGCCUAACCAUGGUUUGGUUUGAGCAUGGAGUUGGACUAGUCUAACCUAGAACUGGAUUGGUCUAACUUGGAACCAGAAACAGGCUGCAUUCUCUCUCCUAUUGAACUGGACCAGAAUCGGUCGGUUCUGUUCAAUCUGGUUCAGGGCCAAACCAGAUUUUUUUCCUUUUAAAGAAAAGGAAAAAUUUUGGGAAAAAUUUCAACUAUCGGAUUAGAUCAAAACCAGACCGGAUAGGAAUUGGGACCUGGGGUACCCUGUGGUCUGGUCUCAG
This 344-nucleotide unclassified non-coding RNA is filed under the name Hevea brasiliensis (rubber tree). The record is from RNAcentral. Lineage: Eukaryota; Viridiplantae; Streptophyta; Magnoliopsida; Malpighiales; Euphorbiaceae.